This 75-nucleotide transfer RNA is filed under the name Patescibacteria group bacterium. RNAcentral's name for it is "tRNA-Gln". It matches the Rfam family "tRNA". Rfam says of the family: Transfer RNA (tRNA) molecules are approximately 80 nucleotides in length. Their secondary structure includes four short double-helical elements and three loops (D, anti-codon, and T loops). The record is from RNAcentral.
UGCCUGGUGGCCAAGCGGUAAGGCAUCUCGCUCUGGACGAGAAAACCGUAGGUUCGAAUCCUACCCAGGCAGCCA